GUCCAGCUGACGAGUCCCAAAUAGGACGAAACGCGCGUCAACCUGGAU
Molecule: non-coding RNA, 48 nt
Filed under: Schistosoma curassoni
Lineage: Eukaryota; Metazoa; Platyhelminthes; Trematoda; Strigeidida; Schistosomatidae
Source: RNAcentral